Molecule: ribosomal RNA, 341 nt
Filed under: uncultured anaerobic ammonium-oxidizing bacterium
Lineage: Bacteria
Description: bacterial SSU rRNA
Rfam family: Bacterial small subunit ribosomal RNA
Source: RNAcentral
GUCUGAUCUAUCCUCAGUAAGCUCGGGCUAAGUUCGUGCCAGCAGCCGCGGUAAGACGAACCGAGCGAACGUUGUUCGGAAUCACUGGGCUUAAAGGGCGCGUAGGCGGGCUGUCAAGUCUGGGGUGAAAUCCCACGGCUCAACCGUGGAACUGCCUCAGAUACUGACGGCCUCGAGGGAGGUAGGGGCGAGCGGAACUGUGAGUGGAGCGGUGAAAUGCGUUGAUAUUCACAGGAACUCCGGUGGCGAAGGCGGCUCGCUGGACCUCUUCUGACGCUGAGGCGCGAAAGCUAGGGGAGCAAACGGGAUUAGAUACCCCGGUAGUCCUAGCCGUAAACGAU